RNAcentral lists this ribosomal RNA (1001 nucleotides) under Alcaligenes faecalis. Its description in RNAcentral is "bacterial SSU rRNA". It matches the Rfam family "Bacterial small subunit ribosomal RNA", at positions 408 to 1407 of the family's 1533-position model. Lineage: Bacteria; Pseudomonadati; Pseudomonadota; Betaproteobacteria; Burkholderiales; Alcaligenaceae. The record is from RNAcentral.
AUGAAGGCCUUCGGGUUGUAAAGUACUUUUGGCAGAGAAGAAAAGGUAUCCCCUAAUACGGGAUACUGCUGACGGUAUCUGCAGAAUAAGCACCGGCUAACUACGUGCCAGCAGCCGCGGUAAUACGUAGGGUGCAAGCGUUAAUCGGAAUUACUGGGCGUAAAGCGUGUGUAGGCGGUUCGGAAAGAAAGAUGUGAAAUCCCAGGGCUCAACCUUGGAACUGCAUUUUUAACUGCCGAGCUAGAGUAUGUCAGAGGGGGGUAGAAUUCCACGUGUAGCAGUGAAAUGCGUAGAUAUGUGGAGGAAUACCGAUGGCGAAGGCAGCCCCCUGGGAUAAUACUGACGCUCAGACACGAAAGCGUGGGGAGCAAACAGGAUUAGAUACCCUGGUAGUCCACGCCCUAAACGAUGUCAACUAGCUGUUGGGGCCGUUAGGCCUUAGUAGCGCAGCUAACGCGUGAAGUUGACCGCCUGGGGAGUACGGUCGCAAGAUUAAAACUCAAAGGAAUUGACGGGGACCCGCACAAGCGGUGGAUGAUGUGGAUUAAUUCGAUGCAACGCGAAAAACCUUACCUACCCUUGACAUGUCUGGAAAGCCGAAGAGAUUUGGCCGUGCUCGCAAGAGAACCGGAACACAGGUGCUGCAUGGCUGUCGUCAGCUCGUGUCGUGAGAUGUUGGGUUAAGUCCCGCAACGAGCGCAACCCUUGUCAUUAGUUGCUACGCAAGAGCACUCUAAUGAGACUGCCGGUGACAAACCGGAGGAAGGUGGGGAUGACGUCAAGUCCUCAUGGCCCUUAUGGGUAGGGCUUCACACGUCAUACAAUGGUCGGGACAGAGGGUCGCCAACCCGCGAGGGGGAGCCAAUCUCAGAAACCCGAUCGUAGUCCGGAUCGCAGUCUGCAACUCGACUGCGUGAAGUCGGAAUCGCUAGUAAUCGCGGAUCAGAAUGUCGCGGUGAAUACGUUCCCGGGUCUUGUACACACCGCCCGUCACACCAUGG